This is an unclassified non-coding RNA of Aotus nancymaae (Ma's night monkey), 299 nucleotides long. It matches the Rfam family "Metazoan signal recognition particle RNA". Rfam says of the family: The signal recognition particle (SRP) is a universally conserved ribonucleoprotein. The record is from Ensembl. Lineage: Eukaryota; Metazoa; Chordata; Mammalia; Primates; Aotidae.
GCCAGGCGCAGUGGCGCGUGCCUAUAGUCCCAGCUACUCAGGAGGUUGAGGUGGGAGGUUCGCUUGAGCCCAGGAGUCCUGGGCUGUAGUGUGCUAUGCUGAUCGGGUGUCUGAACUAAGUUCGGCAUCAAUAUUGUGACCUCCCAGGAGCAGGGGACCACCAGGUUGCCUAAGGAGGAGUGAACCGGCCCAGGUCGGAAACGGAGCAGGUCAAAACUCCAAUACUGAUCAGUAGUGGGACUGCGUCUGUGAAUAGCCACUGCACUCCAGCCUGGGCAACAGAGCAAGACCCCAUCUCU